Molecule: ribosomal RNA, 433 nt
Filed under: uncultured bacterium
Lineage: Bacteria
Description: partial 16S ribosomal RNA
Rfam family: Bacterial small subunit ribosomal RNA
Source: RNAcentral
AGCGAACGCUGGCGGCAGGCCUAACACAUGCAAGUCGAACGAACUCUUCGGAGUUAGUGGCGGACGGGUGAGUAACACGUGGGAACGUGCCGUUAGGUUCGGAAUAACUUAGGGAAACUUGCGCUAAUACCGAAUGCGUCGUUCGGGGGAAUGAUUCAGCGCCUUAAGAGCGGCCCGCGUCCGAUUAGGUAGUUGGCGAGGUAAGGGCUCACCAAGGCGUCGAUCAGUAGCUGGUCAGAGAGGAUGAGCAGCCACGUUGGGACUGGGACGCGGCCCAAACUCCUACGGGAGGGAGCAAUGGGGGAUCUUGCGAAAUUGGCGGAAGGAUGACGCAGCCAUGCCGGGUAAAUGAUGAAGGUCUUGGGAAUGUAAAAUUCUUUCACCGGGGACGAUAAUGACGGUACCCAGCGAGAAAGCCCCGGCUAACUUCGUG